Non-coding RNA from Musca domestica (house fly), 96 nucleotides. The record is from Rfam. NCBI's taxonomy places the organism in Eukaryota, Metazoa, Arthropoda, Insecta, Diptera, Muscidae.
CCUUCGAUAGCUCAGUUGGUAGAGCGGUGGACUGUAGAAUUGUCAAUCGAAUAAAUAGACAUCCAUAGGUCGUGGGUUCAAAUCCGGCUCGAAGGA